GCCUAACACAUGCAAGUCGAACGGAUCCUUCGGGAUUAGUGGCAGACGGGUGAGUAACGCGUGGGAAGCUACCUUGUGGUAGGGAACAACAGUUGGAAACGACUGCUAAUACCCUAUGAGCCCUAUGGGGGAAAGAUUUAUCGCCAUGAGAUGUGCCCGCGUUAGAUUAGCUAGUUGGUAAGGUAAUGGCUUACCAAGGCGACGAUCUAUAGCUGGUCUGAGAGGAUGAUCAGCCACACUGGGACUGAGACACGGCCCAGACUCCUACGGGAGGCAGCAGUGGGGAAUAUUGGACAAUGGGGGCAACCCUGAUCCAGCCAUGCCGCGUGAGUGAUGACGGCCUUAGGGUUGUAAAGCUCUUUCAGCAGUGAAGAUAAUGACAUUAACUGCAGAAGAAGCCCCGGCUAACU
Molecule: ribosomal RNA, 410 nt
Filed under: bacterium DC-3
Lineage: Bacteria
Description: bacterial SSU rRNA
Rfam family: Bacterial small subunit ribosomal RNA
Source: RNAcentral